RNAcentral lists this ribosomal RNA (191 nucleotides) under uncultured bacterium. RNAcentral describes it as "partial 16S ribosomal RNA". It matches the Rfam family "Bacterial small subunit ribosomal RNA", at positions 328 to 538 of the family's 1533-position model. The record is from RNAcentral.
ACGCUCGACACCUACGGAGGCAGCAGUGGGGAAUAUUGCACAAUGGGGGAAACCCUGAUGCAGCGACGCCGCGUGAGCGAAGAAGUAUUUCGGUAUGUAAAGCUCUAUCAGCAGGGAAGAAACUGACGGUACCUGACUAAGAAGCACCGGCUAAAUACGUGCCGNNCGCGAGUAUGNGNGGCGUGNGAGNG